UACAGGUCUUCGGAUGCUGACGAGUGGCGAACGGGUGAGUAAUACAUCGGAACGUGCCUAGUAGUGGGGGAUAACUACUCGAAAGAGUAGCUAAUACCGCAUGAGAUCUACGGAUGAAAGCAGGGGACCUUCGGGCCUUGUGCUACUAGAGCGGCUGAUGGCAGAUUAGGUAGUUGGUGGGGUAAAGGCUUACCAAGCCUGCGAUCUGUAGCUGGUCUGAGAGGACGACCAGCCACACUGGGACUGAGACACGGCCCAGACUCCUACGGGAGGCAGCAGUGGGGAAUUUUGGACAAUGGGCGAAAGCCUGAUCCAGCAAUGCCGCGUGCAGGAUGAAGGCCCUCGGGUUGUAAACUGCUUUUGUACGGAACGAAAAGCCUGGGGCUAAUACCCCCGGGUCAUGACGGUACCGUAAGAAUAAGCACCGGCUAACUACGUGCCAGCAGCCGCGGUAAUACGUAGGGUGCAAGCGUUAAUCGGAAUUACUGGGCGUAAAGCGUGCGCAGGCGGUUUUGUAAGACAGUGGUGA
RNAcentral lists this ribosomal RNA (529 nucleotides) under Comamonas testosteroni. RNAcentral describes it as "bacterial SSU rRNA". It matches the Rfam family "Bacterial small subunit ribosomal RNA", at positions 70 to 597 of the family's 1533-position model. The record is from RNAcentral. Lineage: Bacteria; Pseudomonadati; Pseudomonadota; Betaproteobacteria; Burkholderiales; Comamonadaceae.